AUCCAGGUGACAAGUCCCAAAUAGGACGAAACGGGCAUUAUCCUGGAU
RNAcentral lists this non-coding RNA (48 nucleotides) under Trichobilharzia regenti. Lineage: Eukaryota; Metazoa; Platyhelminthes; Trematoda; Strigeidida; Schistosomatidae. The record is from RNAcentral.